CAAGCAGCGGAGCAUGUGGUUUAAUUCGAAGCAACGCGAAGAACCUUACCAGGUCUUGACAUCCCUCUGAAUGGCGCUUAGCAGCGCAGGUCUUUCGGGACAGAGGAGACAGGUGGUGCAUGGUUGUCGUCAGCUCGUGUCGUGAGAUGUUGGGUUAAGUCCCGCAACGAGCGCAACCCCUUGCCUUUAGUUGCCAUCAUUCAGUUGGGCACUCUAGCGAGACUGCCGGUAAUAAACCGGAGGAAGGUGGGAUGACGUCAAAUCAUCAUGCCCCUUAUGACCUGGGCUACACACGUGCUACAAUGGUUGGUACAACGAGUUGCGAGUCGGUGACGGCGAGCUAAUCUCUUAAAGCCAAUCUCAGUUCGGAUUGUAGGCUGCAACUCGCCUACAUGAAGUCGGAAUCGCUAGUAAUCGCGGAUCAGCACGCCGCGGUGAAUACGUUCCCGGGCCUU
Molecule: ribosomal RNA, 455 nt
Filed under: uncultured Streptococcus sp.
Lineage: Bacteria; Bacillati; Bacillota; Bacilli; Lactobacillales; Streptococcaceae
Description: bacterial SSU rRNA
Rfam family: Bacterial small subunit ribosomal RNA
Source: RNAcentral